AAUUUUACACGGAUAACUGUGGUAAUUCUAGAGCUAAUACGUGCAACCAGCUCGUUCCUUCGUGGAGCGAGCGCAGUUAUUAGAACAAGACCAAUCCGGCCUUCGGGUCGGUACAAUUGGUGACUCUGAAUAACCGAAGCGGAGCGCAUGGUCUCGUACCGGCGCCAGAUCUUUCAAGUGUCUGACUUAUCAGCUUGUUGUUAGGUUAUGUUCCUAACAAGGCUUCAACGGGUAACGGGGUAUCAGGGUCCGAUACCGGAGAGGGAGCCUGAGAAACGGCUACCACAUCCAAGGAAGGCAGCAGGCGCGCAAAUUACCCACUCCUAGCACAGGGAGGUAGUGACGAAAAAUAACGAUGCGAGGGCUAAUAGCUUCUCGUAAUCGGAAUGGGUACACUUUAAAUCCUUUAACGAGGAUCUAUUGGAGGGCAAGUCUGGUGCCAGCAGCCGCGGUAAUUCCAGCUCCAAUAGCGUAUAUUAAAGUUGCUGCGGUUAAAAAGCUCGUAGUUGGAUCUGGGCUUCUGAAUGGAUGGUUCACUUUUCGGUGUAACUGUUCGUUUGGUGCCACAAGCCGGCCAUGUCUUGCAUGCCCUUUACUGGGUGUGCAUGGCGACCGGAACGUUUACUUUGAAAAAAUUAGAGUGCUCAAAGCAGGCGUAUGGCCUUGCAUAAUGGUGCAUGGAAUAAUGGAAUAGGACCUCGGUUCUAUUUUGUUGGUUUUCGGAACUCGAGGUAAUGAUUAAGAGGAACAGACGGGGGCAUUCGUAUUGCGGCGUUAGAGGUGAAAUUCUUGGAUCGUCGCAAGACGAACUACUGCGAAAGCAUUUGCCAAGAAUGUUUUCAUUAAUCAAGAACGAAAGUUAGAGGUUCGAAGGCGAUCAGAUACCGCCCUAGUUCUAACCAUAAACGAUGCCAACCAGCGAUCCGUCGGUGUUUUUUUUAUGACUCGACGGGCAGCUUUCCGGGAAACCAAAGUGCUUAGGUUCCGGGGGAAGUAUGGUGCAAAGCUGA
RNAcentral lists this ribosomal RNA (1010 nucleotides) under Macrobiotus noongaris. Its description in RNAcentral is "SSU rRNA". It matches the Rfam family "Eukaryotic small subunit ribosomal RNA", at positions 131 to 1140 of the family's 1831-position model. The record is from RNAcentral. Lineage: Eukaryota; Metazoa; Tardigrada; Eutardigrada; Parachela; Macrobiotidae.